RNAcentral lists this transfer RNA (60 nucleotides) under Paratomella rubra. RNAcentral describes it as "tRNA-Phe". Lineage: Eukaryota; Metazoa; Xenacoelomorpha; Acoela; Paratomellidae. The record is from RNAcentral.
UUUACUUUAGUUUAUAUAAAAUGAAAUAUUGAAGCUAUUUUGAAAAUUUUUUAAGUAAAA